ACGCCCUUCGGGGGAAAGAAUUUCGGUGAGGGAUCGGCCCGCGUUAGAUUAGUUAGUUGGUGGGGUAAUGGCCUACCAAGACUACGAUCUAUAGCUGGUUUGAGAGGAUGAUCAGCAACACUGGGACUGAGACACGGCCCAGACUCCUACGGGAGGCAGCAGUGGGGAAUCUUAGACAAUGGGGGCAACCCUGAUCUAGCGAUGCCGCGUGAGUGAUGAAGGCCUUAGGGUCGUAAAGCUCUUUCGCCUGUGAUGAUAAUGACAGUAGCAGGUAAAGAAACCCCGGCUAACUCCGUGCCAGCAGCCGCGGUAAUACGGAGGGGGUUAGCGUUGUUCGGAAUUACUGGGCGUAAAGCGCACGUAGGCGGAUUAGUCAGUCAGAGGUGAAAUCCCAGGGGCUCAACCCUGGAACUGCCUUUGAUACUGCUAGUCUUGAGUUCGAGAGAGGUAAGUGGGAAUUCCCGAGUGUAGAGGUGAAAUUCGUUAGAUAUUCGGGAGGAACACCAGUGGCCGAAGGCGGCUUACUGGCUCGAUACUGACGCUGAGGUGCGAAAGUGUGGGGGAGCAAACAGGAUUAGAUACCCUGGUAGUCCACACCGUAAACGAUGAAUGCCAGUCGUCCGGGUAGUAUACUAUUCGGUGACACACCUAACGGAUUAAGCAUUCCGCCUGGGGAGUACGGUCGCAAGAUUAAAACUCAAAGGAAUUGAC
RNAcentral lists this ribosomal RNA (711 nucleotides) under Celeribacter sp. RNAcentral's name for it is "bacterial SSU rRNA". It matches the Rfam family "Bacterial small subunit ribosomal RNA", at positions 189 to 914 of the family's 1533-position model. The record is from RNAcentral. Lineage: Bacteria; Pseudomonadati; Pseudomonadota; Alphaproteobacteria; Rhodobacterales; Roseobacteraceae.